RNAcentral lists this ribosomal RNA (497 nucleotides) under uncultured bacterium. Its description in RNAcentral is "partial 16S ribosomal RNA". It matches the Rfam family "Bacterial small subunit ribosomal RNA", at positions 29 to 507 of the family's 1533-position model. The record is from RNAcentral.
AGUGAACGCUGGCGGUAUGCCUAACACAUGCAAGUCGAGCGACCAGACGGGGAGAUUGCGCCUCUAACGGUGGCGGCGGACGGACGAGUGACGAAUGCAUCACAUACUACUUUGACGGGGAGGACUUCGGAAAGCCAGAGAUACUAAUAGCUCAUACGUCCAACGGCUGGGAUCAAUAGUGCAAGGCAGCUUUCGCGACACUUAUAGACGAUUCCGGGCCGGAUUAGCUGGUUGGUAAGGUAACAGCUAACCAAGGAGACGAAGCGUAGCCGACCUGAGAGGGUGAUCGGCCACACUGGAACUGAGACACGGUCCAGACUCCUACGGGAGGCAGCAGUAGGGAAUCUUCCGCAAUGGGCGAAAGCCUGACGGAGCAACUCCGCGUGAGUGAUGAAGGUCUUCGGAUCGUAAAACUCUGUUAUUAGGGAAGAACAAAUGUGUAAGUAACUACGCACGUCUUGACGGUACCCAAUCAGAAAGCCACGGCUAACUACGUG